UAGAUACUCCUUCUAUCCCAAAAUUCUUGUCUUAGAUUUUUCUAGAUACAGAUGUAUCUAGUCACGUUUUAGUGUUAAAUACAUCUUUAUCUAGACAAAUUUAAGACAAGAAUUUUGGGAUGGAGGUAAUACUUU
Non-coding RNA from Triticum aestivum (bread wheat), 135 nucleotides. Lineage: Eukaryota; Viridiplantae; Streptophyta; Magnoliopsida; Poales; Poaceae. The record is from Rfam.